CAGCCGCCGCGGUAAAACGGAGGGGGCUAGCGUUGUUCGGAAUUACUGGGCGUAAAGCGCACGUAGGCGGCUUGGUAAGUUAGAGGUGAAAGCCCGGGGCUCAACCCCGGAACUGCCUUUGAAACUAGGUGACUAGAAUCUUGGAGAGGUCAGUGGAAUUCCAAGUGUAGAGGUGAAAUUCGUAGAUAUUCGGAAGAACACCAGUGGCGAAGGCGACUGACUGGACAAGUAUUGACGCUGAGGUGCGAAAGCGUGGGGAGCAAACAGGAUUAGAGACCCCUGUAGUCCCUGUCUCUUAUAC
Molecule: ribosomal RNA, 301 nt
Filed under: uncultured bacterium
Lineage: Bacteria
Description: partial 16S ribosomal RNA
Rfam family: Bacterial small subunit ribosomal RNA
Source: RNAcentral